AGCGGCGAACGGGUGAGUAACACGUGGAUAACCUGCCCUGAGGUGGGGGAUAACCCGGGGAAACUCGGGCUAAUACCGCAUGAUACCGAGAGGUCAAAGGGGGCUCGCAAGGGCUCUCGCCAUGGGAGGGGUCCGCGUCCGAUUAGCUAGUUGGCAGGGUAAUGGCCUACCAAGGCGACGAUCGGUAGCCGGCCUGAGAGGGUGAUCGGCCACACUGGAACUGAGACACGGUCCAGACUCCUACGGGAGGCAGCAGUGGGGAAUUUUGCGCAAUGGGCUAACGCCUGACGCAGCAACGCCGCGUGGAGGAUGAAGGUCUUUGGAUUGUAAACUCCUGUCAGCAGGGAAAAAGCGAGCCGGCCUAACAUGCCGGUGAGUUGAUUGUACCUGCAGAGGAAGCCCCGGCUAACUCUGUGCCAGCAGCCGCGGUAAUACAGAGGGGGCAAGCGUUAUUCGGAAUUAUUGGGCGUAAAGGGCGCGUAGGCGGCUUGGCAAGUGGAUGGUGAAAUCCCUCGGCUUAACCGAGGAACCGCCGUCCAAACUGCUUUGCUUGAGGCCGGGAGAGGCGAGUGGAAUUCCCAGUGUAGCGGUGAAAUGCGUAGAUAUUGGGAGGAACACCAGUGGCGAAGGCGGCUCGCUGGACCGGUUCUGACGCUGAGGCGCGAAAGCGUGGGGAGCAAACGGGAUUAGAUACCCCGGUAGUCCACGCUGUAAACGAUGAGUGCUUGGUGUAGCGGGUAUCGACCCCUGCUGUGCCGAAGUCAACACAUUAAGCACUCCGCCUGGGGAGUACGGUCGCAAGGCUGAAACUCAAAGGAAUUGACGGGGGCCCGCACAAGCGGUGGAGCAUGUGGUUCAAUUCGA
RNAcentral lists this ribosomal RNA (864 nucleotides) under uncultured bacterium. Its description in RNAcentral is "bacterial SSU rRNA". It matches the Rfam family "Bacterial small subunit ribosomal RNA", at positions 94 to 954 of the family's 1533-position model. The record is from RNAcentral.